RNAcentral lists this ribosomal RNA (472 nucleotides) under uncultured bacterium. RNAcentral's name for it is "bacterial SSU rRNA". It matches the Rfam family "Bacterial small subunit ribosomal RNA", at positions 355 to 825 of the family's 1533-position model. The record is from RNAcentral.
UGGGGAAUAUUGGACAAUGGGCGAAAGCCUGAUCCAGCCAUGCCGCGUGUGUGAAGAAGGUCUUCGGAUUGUAAAGCACUUUAAGUUGGGAGGAAGGGCAGUUACCUAAUACGUGAUUGUUUUGACGUUACCGACAGAAUAAGCACCGGCUAACUCUGUGCCAGCAGCCGCGGUAAUACAGAGGGUGCAAGCGUUAAUCGGAAUUACUGGGCGUAAAGCGCGCGUAGGUGGUUUGUUAAGUUGGAUGUGAAAGCCCCGGGCUCAACCUGGGAACUGCAUUCAAAACUGACUGACUAGAGUAUGGUAGAGGGUGGUGGAAUUUCCUGUGUAGCGGUGAAAUGCGUAGAUAUAGGAAGGAACACCAGUGGCGAAGGCGACCACCUGGACUGAUACUGACACUGAGGUGCGAAAGCGUGGGGAGCAAACAGGAUUAGAUACCCCUGUAGUCCCUGAGCGGGCUGGCAAGGCGCAU